This 431-nucleotide ribosomal RNA is filed under the name uncultured bacterium. RNAcentral's name for it is "partial 16S ribosomal RNA". It matches the Rfam family "Bacterial small subunit ribosomal RNA", at positions 28 to 507 of the family's 1533-position model. The record is from RNAcentral.
GACGAACGCUGGCGGCAGGCUUAACACAUGCAAGUCGAACGCCCCGCACCGGGAGUUGCAGGCGGGUGAGGAACGCGUGGGAACAUACCCUUUUCUAUGAACUAGCUCUGGGAAACUGGUAUCAAUACCGUACACGCCCUACUUGGGAAAGAUUUAUCGGGGAGGAAUUGGCGCGCGGUGGAUUAUCUAGUUGGUGGGGUGGAGGCAUACCAAGGCAACGAUCCAUAGCUGUUGUGAGAGGCUGAUCAGCCACAUUGGGACUGAGACACGGCCCAAACUCCUACGGGAGGCAGCAGUGGGGAACAUUAGACACUGGGGGCAAGUCUGAUCCAGCCAUGUCGCGUGAGUGAUGAAGGCCUUAGGGUUGUAAAGCUCUUUCAGCGAUGACGAUAAUGACGGUAGUAGGAGAAGAAGCCCCGGCUAACUUCGUG